This 73-nucleotide transfer RNA is filed under the name Okeania sp. KiyG1. Its description in RNAcentral is "tRNA-Lys". Lineage: Bacteria; Bacillati; Cyanobacteriota; Cyanophyceae; Oscillatoriales; Microcoleaceae. The record is from RNAcentral.
GAACUUUAUGGAUGGGUAGAUUUUCUGAUUUUUGGUCAGAAAAAGUCUUAGGUUCUAAUUUAGUUGAAUUUCU